GAUGAACGCUGGCGGCGUGCCUAAUACAUGCAAGUCGAGCGAACAGAUAAGGAGCUUGCUCCUUUGACGUUAGCGGCGGACGGGUGAGUAACACGUGGGUAACCUACCUAUAAGACUGGGAUAACUUCGGGAAACCGGAGCUAAUACCGGAUAACAUUUGGAACCGCAUGGUUCUAAAGUGAAAGAUGGUUUUGCUAUCACUUAUAUAUGGACCCGCGCCGUAUUAGCUAGUUGGUAAGGUAACGGCUUACCAAGGCGACGAUACGUAGCCGACCUGAGAGGGUGAUCGGCCACACUGGAACUGAGACACGGUCCAGACUCCUACGGGAGGCAGCAGUAGGGAAUCUUCCGCAAUGGGCGAAAGCCUGACGGAGCAACGCCGCGUGAGUGAUGAAGGGUUUCGGCUCGUAAAACUCUGUUAUUAGGGAAGAACAAACGUGUAAGUAACUGUGCACGUCUUGACGGUACCUAAUCAGAAAGCCACGGCUAACUACGUG
Molecule: ribosomal RNA, 497 nt
Filed under: uncultured bacterium
Lineage: Bacteria
Description: partial 16S ribosomal RNA
Rfam family: Bacterial small subunit ribosomal RNA
Source: RNAcentral